RNAcentral lists this ribosomal RNA (253 nucleotides) under uncultured bacterium. RNAcentral's name for it is "partial 16S ribosomal RNA". It matches the Rfam family "Bacterial small subunit ribosomal RNA", at positions 524 to 776 of the family's 1533-position model. The record is from RNAcentral.
UACAGAGGGGGCAAGCGUUGUUCGGAAUUACUGGGCGUAAAGGGCGCGUAGGCGGCCUGUUAAGUCGGACGUGAAAUCCCCGGGCUCAACCCGGGAACUGCGUCCGAUACUGGGAGGCUUGAAUCCGGGAGAGGGAUGUGGAAUUCCAGGUGUAGCGGUGAAAUGCGUAGAUAUCUGGAGGAACACCGGUGGCGAAGGCGGCAUCCUGGACCGGUAUUGACGCUGAGGCGCGAAAGCCAGGGGAGCAAACGGG